This 814-nucleotide ribosomal RNA is filed under the name Metaphrynella sundana (Borneo treefrog). RNAcentral describes it as "partial 16S rRNA". It matches the Rfam family "Bacterial large subunit ribosomal RNA", at positions 1536 to 2574 of the family's 2925-position model. The record is from RNAcentral. Lineage: Eukaryota; Metazoa; Chordata; Amphibia; Anura; Microhylidae.
UCUAAUAACCCAUCAAAACCCUUAUCUUGUAUUGAGCGAUUCUAUACAACUAUAGAAAACCACAUGCUAGAACUAGUAACAAGAAUAAGACCCUUCUCCAAAAUACAAGUGUUAGCCAAAACGAACUAACACCGGCAUUUACCGCCACUGAACACAUAGUAGUAACUAAACAAGAAAAUACUACUUUUUUAGGCGUCAAUCUUACACUAGAGUAUUUCAGGAUGAUUAAAAAAAGAGGAAGGAACUCGGCAAACUAUUAACCCCGCCUGUUUACCAAAAACAUCGCCUCUUGACAAACAUAAGAGGUCCAGCCUGCCCAGUGACAAAGUUUAACGGCCGCGGUACCCUAACCGUGCAAAGGUAGCGCAAUCACUUGUUCCUUAAAUAGGGACUAGUAUGAAUGGCAUCACGAGGGUUAUUCUGUCUCCCCCUUUUAAUCAGUGAAACUGACCUCCCCGUGAAGAGGCGGGGAUAAAAGUAUAAGACGAGAAGACCCCAUGGAGCUUUAAACUAAGUACUAACUGCUUUACCAAUACCAUUGAAACUUAGCAGCUGUAGAAACUAGUUUUUGGUUGGGGUGACCGCGGAGCAAAACACAACCUCCACGAUGAAUGAACCUAAUACUCUAAUUACUAGAGCCACAACUCAAACAAGCAACAAAUUGACAUAUUUGAUCCAAUUAAUUUUGAUCAACGAACCAAGUUACCCUGGGGAUAACAGCGCAAUCCACUUCAAGAGCCCCUAUCGACAAGUGGGUUUACGACCUCGAUGUUGGAUCAGGGUACCCAAGUGGUGCAACCGCUACUAAAGGUUC